ACAGCAGUAGCCACGGGAAAACGUAGGUCCCGAGCGUUAAUCGGAAUUACUGGGCGUAAAGCGUGCGCAGGCGGUUUUGUAAGACAGAGGUGAAAUCCCCGGGCUCAACCUGGGAACUGCCUUUGCGACUGCAAGGCUGGAGUGCGGCAGAGGGGGAUGGAAUUCCGCGUGUAGCAGUGAAAUGCGUAGAUAUGCGGAGGAACACCGAUGGCGAAGGCAAUCCCCUGGGCCUGCACUGACGCUCAUGCACGAAAGCGUGGGGAGCAAACAGGAUUAGAUACCCCGGUAGUCCCUGUCUCUUAUAC
RNAcentral lists this ribosomal RNA (305 nucleotides) under uncultured bacterium. RNAcentral's name for it is "partial 16S ribosomal RNA". It matches the Rfam family "Bacterial small subunit ribosomal RNA", at positions 505 to 807 of the family's 1533-position model. The record is from RNAcentral.